CUGCAGCACUGAACUGAAAGUAAUAAGCAAUAGGAUGAGAAGGAAUGCCCUCAAGUUGCGCCAGGAAAGGUUUAGAGUGGAUAUUAGGAAGCAUUUCUUUCCAGAAGGGGUUGUCAGGCGUUGGAAUGGGCUGC
This is a long non-coding RNA of Athene cunicularia (burrowing owl), 134 nucleotides long. RefSeq lists it as uncharacterized. The transcript is spliced from 3 exons. NCBI's taxonomy places the organism in Eukaryota, Metazoa, Chordata, Aves, Strigiformes, Strigidae. The record is from RefSeq and is a predicted model, not a curated record.